GGACGCGGGGACGUGGGUAUCGGGGGGGGGGGGGGGUGGGGUUUGUCCUGGGGAGCCCCCCUCCCCCCAUCCUCCGGGGGGGCUGCGGGGCCGGGGGUGCCCGGGGAGGGGACACAGAGGACCGGGGGAGGGCGGUCCCGGUCCCUCCCGCCGGGCGCGGCCGCUGGGGCUCGGGGCGGGACGGGGCUCGGGACCGGGACCGGGACCGGGACGGGGACCGGGACGGGCGCUCCGGUACCGGCAUCGAGACCGGUGUCGCCCCCGCGGGACCAUGGUGAGCGCCGGGGGCUCCGCCGCCGCUUUCGCUUUCGCUUCUCGUGGGGGGGGGACACACCGGGACCGGCAGCGGGGCGGGGCAUGAGGACCCCCCCUUCCCCGGGGUUUGAAGGCACCCCCCUCCUCCCGGGGGUUGGGGACCCCUCCCGGUCCCGGUGCCCCCGGGCUCUUCCUGCUGGAGGGAGGGACACGGCCCCGGGGGGGGGGGGUGUGGCCCGCGUGGAACUUUCUGUGUCCCUGCGUGUCCCCGGCCCGGUGUCCCCGUGUCCCCACAGUGCCCUCUCCCCGUGGUCCCCCUCUGCCCCAUCCCCACGGUUCCCGUGUCCCCAAGGUCCUCGUGUGCCCCCCUCCUCAUGGUGCCAGCGUCCCACACGUCCUCCGGUGCCCCCUCCCCACGGUUCCCGUGUCCCCAAGGUCUCCUGUCCCCACCCACCCCCUCCUGCCAGUGCCUGUGUCCCCAAAGUGCCCCUUCGCUGGGGUCCCCAUGUCCCUGUGUGUCCCCUCCUCAGGGUGCCAUGGUCUCCUUGUCCCCAUGUGCCCCAUUCCUGUGGUGUCCAUGUCCCCGUGGUCCCUGUGUGCCCACUUCUCACAGUGCCCUCGUCCCCAUGGUGCCCCCUUCCCUUGUCCCUGUGGUCCCCAUAGUCCCCAGGUGCCCCUUCCCUGAGGUGUCCAUGUCCCCACAUGUCCCCCUUCUCACAGCAACCUCGUCCCCAUGAUGUCCCUUCUGUGGGGGUUCCUUGUCCCCAUAGUGCCUGUGCCCUUGGCACUAUGGUCCCUGUGUCCCCACCAUCCCCCCUAUGGCCCCAUUGUCCCCACCGUGUCCCUUCUCCACGGUGCACUUCUCCCUACAGUCCCUAUGGCCCCCUGGUCCCUGUGUCCCCCCUGUCCCCCUCUUUGUCCUCAUGGUCCCCUACAUGCCCAUUGUCCCCACUGUGCCCCUUCCCUGCGUUGUUCUUGUCCCCAUGGUCUGCUUGUCCCCCAAGUCCCCAUGUGCCCCUUCCCUGCAGUGUCCUUGUCCCCGUGGUCCCUGUGUCCCCAUUGUCCCCCCGAUGUCCCCGGAGUCCCCUCUGUCUCCGUUGUCCCCAUGGUGCCCCUUCCCUGCGGUGCCCUUGUCCCCAAGGUCCCUACGUCCCCCAAGGUUCUCCCUAUGCCCCGUCCCCACGGUGCCCGUGCCCCCUGGGGGGUGCUGGUGUCCCCCAUGUCUUCCCCCCUGCCCCUUGUCCCCCAGGCGGGGCUGGCCCAGUGCCAGCGCGAGGCAGAGGAGGUGACGGAGCUGAUGAAGCAGAACUUUGCGCGGGCGCUGGAGCGGGACGGGCGCCUCAGCGACCUCGACAGCCGGGCCCAGGAGCUGCGCGCCAUGGGCGAAGUCUUCAGCCGCAGCACCCGGAUGGUGGCUCAGCAGCAGCACAGGGGAAACCGACGCUGGCGCCUGGCAGCCAUCGGCCUCGCUGCCUUCCUCCUCCUCUUCCUCAUCCUCAUCCUCGGCCUGGCCCUAUGGCUCUCACGGCCAGCCCCUGCCGUCGUCACUGUCACCGUCACUGUCCCCCCCCCACCCCUUCCCAGAGGGACUGAGCCCCCCCCCGAGCCACGGCCGGGACUUUGGGAGACCCUACAAUAACAAAAGAGUGAGAACUAUUUUGGGGAGACCCUACAAUAACAAACCCUCAGGAUCUGCUCUGGGGACACCUUCCCAUAAAUAAGAACCAGGACUUGUUUGGAGAAGACCCUACAAUAACAAAAGCGCCAGCCCCCCUCCCCCCUGAAGAGACCCUACAAUAAUAAACCAACAGGACCCGCUACGGGAAGAUCUAAC
Long non-coding RNA from Calidris pygmaea (Spoon-billed sandpiper), 2089 nucleotides. The record is from Ensembl. Lineage: Eukaryota; Metazoa; Chordata; Aves; Charadriiformes; Scolopacidae.